GCAGGAUUGGAACCAGCCAGAGAAUCGCCUUAGUCUGCUGGACUAUGCUACAACAUUAUGGUAGAAGGCAACAGCAUUAACUAAAUGGAAAAAAUGACAUUAACAAGAAGGUUGAUGGAUUUGGAUUAUUUUUCAUGUGUCCUGAAGGUAAAACCAGUGUCCUCACUUGUUUUCCUCUUUUUCCUCAUUUUGAAGACUAUCUGUUUUCAUUUUCUUUACCUCCUCUCUGGCUACGUGUCCCCGGAAGGCAGCUUGGAUUUUGACAGCAGCAACCUCUUCUUUUUCCUUAUCUUCCUCAGAAGAGUCCUUCAUCGAAAGGAGAAAAAUUACCGUCCACACUGCAUGCCCAUGAGAAAUACAAUGAAGAUGGUCUGAAUAAUGAACUGGUAAUCUUCGAUAAUACGAAACGAAUUUAAGAAAACAUAUCAAAGAGGUACAUACUGUUUCAAAGAGCAAGAACUGUUAACGGAAACUCCCUGCCUCAUAAAGGCUUUCUGCAGAAUGGAGAUGGUCUUAAGCAAGUUUUACUAUAAACAAAUGCUUAGUUUCUUAUUUUAAAAAAUGACUAAUUUUAGAAA
This is a long non-coding RNA of Cercocebus atys (sooty mangabey), 578 nucleotides long. RefSeq lists it as uncharacterized. The transcript is spliced from 3 exons. The record is from RefSeq and is a predicted model, not a curated record. NCBI's taxonomy places the organism in Eukaryota, Metazoa, Chordata, Mammalia, Primates, Cercopithecidae.